Molecule: ribosomal RNA, 253 nt
Filed under: uncultured bacterium
Lineage: Bacteria
Description: partial 16S ribosomal RNA
Rfam family: Bacterial small subunit ribosomal RNA
Source: RNAcentral
UACGGGGGGGGCAAGCGUUGUUCGGAAUUACUGGGCGUAAAGGGCUCGUAGGUGGCCAACUAAGUCAGACGUGAAAUUCCUCGGCUUAACCGGGGAACUGCGUCUGAUACUGGAUGGCUUGAGUUUGGGAGAGGGAUGCGGAAUUCCAGGUGUAGCGGUGAAAUGCGUAGAGAUGUGGAGGAACACCAGUGGCGAAGGCGGCUUUUUGGUCUGUAACUGACGCUGAGGCGCGAAAGCGUGGGGAGCAAACAGG